CAUCCCCGUGACCCCUCUUCAGGCACCCACCACCCUGAUGGUGACAGAGGGGGACAGCCAGCACCCAUCUGUCCCCGUCAGGGCUCUUGUUCUCACAGCCCCCUGGAGCAUGCCCCAUGCCCCAACCUUGGGCCUGGCUCCUGGCCCAGAUGGCACCUGGCCUCUUGAGUCUGCUGGGGGACCCCAAAGUUGGUGGUCCCAUAGCCUGCCUUCCUGGGUCUCCACCUCAUGCCUGGACAGGACGCUGUGGCCUGUCCGGGCCUUGGCCAACCCUGCAGCUGCACCCCCGAUCCUCAUCCCUCACCCCAUUCCCUGCCAGCAUCCUAAGGCUCCUGGCGGGCAUCCUCUCUGCUCAAAAUUAUUGACCUGUUUCCUGGCCACACCUGCUGUGCCCUCUCAGCCAGGCCAUCAUCACCCCCUGUUCAUUAUGUCAGGCCUCAUGGGAGCCUGGCCUUCUCCAGAAGCUGGCCCCGGCGUCCUCCCAAGCUGGACCACGGCUGAAUGAGGAACGCGCCACUGGACACAUGAGGAAGAGGCUGCUCUGGGAGCUACUGAUGCUGUGACCUCACCUCUCUGGCUUUGGGCGGCAGGUCCCUGCACCUAGGAUGCCUGCCUGGAAAUGUCCUUGCAUUCGUGGCCUCCUUCGCAGCCUCCUCCUCAGAGAAGCCUCUGCGAGUGCACAGGGAGUGUGCGCAGCCUUGUGAAGGGCUGGGACCACUUGCCCAGACUGGGGCCCCUCGGGCACAGGCGUGGGGUCCUACUGACCUGUCUCCCCAGCUCCCACACAGAAAGCAUCUAAAAU
Molecule: small RNA, 802 nt
Filed under: Pan troglodytes (chimpanzee)
Lineage: Eukaryota; Metazoa; Chordata; Mammalia; Primates; Hominidae
Description: retained intron
Source: RNAcentral